CCUCGCUGGGCUCCUCCCCCGGCACCACCUCCACCGGCGAGAGCGGGAUCGCCAGCCUGGAGUCCCUGGGCUCCCCCGUGGCCACGCUGCCCCCCAGGAGGAGAGUGAUGUCAGACACUUUCCCAGCACUUGGCAGCAAAUGCCAUCCUGCAGAAGCAUCUCCAGCCAGGCCCAGGGAGGCAGAGGGGGCAGAGCAGCCCCCUGGCACAGGCCCUGCAGAGUCAGUGCCUGGUUUUGCACCAAAGGAUGGUCUGGGUUUCUCAUCUGGAGACGUUGCUCUGGUUGGCACAGGUGUUUUUGGGAGCCCUCCUGGCCCAGCUGCCAGCCAGCCCGUGCCCUGUGUGGCCAAUGGGGAUGCCCAGGGUGCCAGGGAGGGAGCAGAGGCUGCCCCAGGGAGAAGCUUCCAGAACAGCCCUUCCCAUUCCUGUUGUCAUGCAGGGAAGGAAGGAGAGAUAAAAGUGACCUUGUCAAAAUCUGCUCAGGAGAAGCUGAGGAGGAGGAGGAAAGAAGACAAAGAGCACAACCAUAAAGAGCAGCAGGAAGGCAAAGACUUGGAAGGGAAGGAAGAAUUCCCUUGGGAAAGGAUUAGACUGAGUAUGAGUGAACCAGAGAAACUCACAGCAGAAAGGUUUAGUCUCUGUGGGGAUUUACUGACAUCACCAAGAAAUGGAUCUUUGUCCUUAGAAAAUGUGGCCUUGAACCCUUCCCUGAAAAGAACCUCCAGUUUGAAGAGGUCCAAGUGUUCAUCCUUGCUGGAUUCUGGUAAGCUGGGACAGUAAACUCUUAAAAUAUUUGGGUAGGUGGAGUGGGACAGUUUCAAAAUACAGUUUAUUUGUGCAGGGGACAGUCCUGAGGUGCUCUGGAAGAUCAGUGCUGUGGGGCUGGAGGGGAUUUAAUUCCUCAGUGGGGAUUCCAUUGAUCAUUUUUCAUCUAUGAGGGAGUUCAUGAAACAUCAGAGGCUUUUAGUUGGAUCAGGAUCUGAAAUGAUACAAUGCAUUAACAGCAAACUGACUACCCCUGUCCCCAAACCCUUCUGGGUACAUUUUGGCACUGAAUUGCCUUUUAAAUAGACAAUAGGAAAAUGUCAAGAGUAGAAGCUCCUACUGAUGGUUCUCAAAGGUGCCAGGGUUUGUCUGGUGUCUCUUCAAGGUUUAUGAGUUAUUAGCACACUGUGUAUCUGUUUUUACACUAAACAACCCCUACCUUUGUGUUGGUGACUCUUAAAAGUGAAGGUUGUGUGCAAAAUUGAAUUUACAUGAAUGAAACUCUGAUUGACUGGGGCUGCCCCUGGAUCCCUGGGAGUGUCCAAGGCCAGGGCUUGGCCUGCCAUGGUGGUGAUGCCCAGAACAGAGGCUGGGCAGAGUGAAAGGAUAAAGCAGGGAUUUGUUAAAAGGAAAUAAUUCCCUCACAGGACACGCCUUGGGCAGUGAUGCUGAUGCCUCCCUGGAGCAGAGCUGGGCACAGUUAAAGGAUAAAGCAGGGAUUUGUUCAA
This 1492-nucleotide long non-coding RNA is filed under the name Zonotrichia albicollis (white-throated sparrow). RNAcentral's name for it is "lncRNA (ENSZALG00000014214.1)". The record is from RNAcentral. Lineage: Eukaryota; Metazoa; Chordata; Aves; Passeriformes; Passerellidae.